Molecule: transfer RNA, 70 nt
Filed under: Halocaridina rubra (Hawaiian volcano shrimp)
Lineage: Eukaryota; Metazoa; Arthropoda; Malacostraca; Decapoda; Atyidae
Description: tRNA-Ser
Rfam family: tRNA
About the family: Transfer RNA (tRNA) molecules are approximately 80 nucleotides in length. Their secondary structure includes four short double-helical elements and three loops (D, anti-codon, and T loops). Further hydrogen bonds mediate the characteristic L-shaped molecular structure. tRNAs have two regions of fundamental functional importance: the anti-codon, which is responsible for specific mRNA codon recognition, and the 3' end, to which the tRNAs corresponding amino acid is attached (by aminoacyl-tRNA synthetases). tRNAs cope with the degeneracy of the genetic code in two manners: having more than one tRNA (with a specific anti-codon) for a particular amino acid; and 'wobble' base-pairing, i.e. permitting non-standard base-pairing at the 3rd anti-codon position.
Source: RNAcentral
AGUUACUUAUCUUUAAGGAAAGAAGAUGUUUUGAAAGCAUCCCAAAAGAGUUCGAAUCUCUUAGUGACUU